CGCGUAGGCGGCUCUAGUAGUCAGGCGUGAAAGCCCCGGGCUUAACCUGGGAAUUGCGUUUGAUACUCUAGUGGCUUGAGUUCGGGAGAGGUGAGUGGAAUUCCCAGUGUAGAGGUGAAAUUCGUAGAUAUUGGGAAGAACACCAGUGGCGAAGGCGGCUCACUGGACCGAUACUGACGCUGAGGCGCGAAAGCGUGGGGAGCAAACAGGAUUAGAUACCCUGGUAGUCCACGCUGUAAACGAUGUGUGCUAGACGUUGGGAGACUUAGUCUCUCGGUGUCGCAGCUAACGCUUUAAGCACACCGCCUGGGGAGUACGGCCGCAAGGUUAAA
This 332-nucleotide ribosomal RNA is filed under the name uncultured bacterium. Its description in RNAcentral is "bacterial SSU rRNA". It matches the Rfam family "Bacterial small subunit ribosomal RNA", at positions 568 to 898 of the family's 1533-position model. The record is from RNAcentral.